AAGACUACUUUUCGGGAUUAUUUCUAUAGUUCUUUACAAAAGAAGUUUCUCUGACUGCGAAGCUCAGGGAAACCACAAGUAGGAGAGGGCGCAGUGUUCUCUGUUGAACGUGAAGUUGGUUUCUGGUGUUGCUUCUGCAACUGCCGUUAGUGAUAGGUCUUCUCUUCCUUUGGGAGAGCGAGAGGGGGAGGACGCUGUCUGGGU
RNAcentral lists this small nucleolar RNA (204 nucleotides) under Pteropus alecto (black flying fox). Its description in RNAcentral is "Small nucleolar RNA U3". It matches the Rfam family "Small nucleolar RNA U3". From Rfam's summary of the family: Small nucleolar RNAs (snoRNAs) are involved in the processing and modification of rRNA in the nucleolus. There are two main classes of snoRNAs: the box C/D class, and the box H/ACA class. The record is from Rfam by way of RNAcentral. Lineage: Eukaryota; Metazoa; Chordata; Mammalia; Chiroptera; Pteropodidae.